Molecule: ribosomal RNA, 497 nt
Filed under: uncultured bacterium
Lineage: Bacteria
Description: partial 16S ribosomal RNA
Rfam family: Bacterial small subunit ribosomal RNA
Source: RNAcentral
GAUGAACGCUGGCGGCGUGCCUAAUACAUGCAAGUCGAGCGAACAGACGAGGAGCUUGCUCCUCUGACGUUAGCGGCGGACGGGUGAGUAACACGUGGAUAACCUACCUAUAAGACUGGGAUAACUUCGGGAAACCGGAGCUAAUACCGGAUAAUAUAUUGAACCGCAUGGUUCUAUAGUGAAAGACGGUUUUGCUGUCACUUAUAGAUGGAUCCGCGCCGCAUUAGCUAGUUGGUAAGGUAACGGCUUACCAAGGCAACGAUGCGUAGCCGACCUGAGAGAGUGAUCGGCCACACUGGAACUGAGACACGGUCCAGACUCCUACGGGAGGCAGCAGUAGGGAAUCUUCCGCAAUGGGCGAAAGCCUGUCGGAGCAACGCCGCGUGAGUGAUGAAGGUCUUCGGAUCGUAAAACUCUGUUAUUAGGGAAGAACAAAUGUGUAAGUAACUAUGCACGUCUUGACGGUACCUAAUCAGAAAGCCACGGCUAACUACGUG